GGGGCAUAGCCGGUGGAAACGCCGGGUAAUGCGCCAUGAGCCGCGCAGGGGACAUCCCCGCGCGGCAAAGCGAGAGCGGGACGGGACGGGCAUGCGUCCCAUUAGCUUGUUGGCGGGGUGAAGGCCCACCAAGGCUACGAUGGGUAGGGGAUCUGAGAGGACGGUCCCCACACUGGUACUGAGACACGGACCAGACUCCUGCGGAGGCAGCAGUAAGGGAUAUUGGUCAAUGGCCGGAAGGCUGAACCAGCCAUGCCGCGUGAGGUAUGAAGGCCCUACGGGUCGUAAGCCUCUUUAUCCGGGGACAAUGACACCCACGCGAUGGGUGUUUGAGGGUACCGGAGGAAUAAGCGUCGGCUAACUCCGUGCC
RNAcentral lists this ribosomal RNA (370 nucleotides) under uncultured bacterium. Its description in RNAcentral is "bacterial SSU rRNA". It matches the Rfam family "Bacterial small subunit ribosomal RNA", at positions 138 to 509 of the family's 1533-position model. The record is from RNAcentral.